AGAGAGGUACAGAGGUUCGCAGUUCUGUCCGCGCUGUCACGAGUGAGUACUUGUGAACAGAAAGCGGCUCUCAUCGCUACUCACAGUGUACAGCCAAACCAGAGGCAGGCGAGCUACUGGAUCUACCAUUAUUUUCUAACGGUGAUCUUCGAAAUGAAGUGUAUCGGCUGCAAAGCCCGUGUGCUUCUGCCUCGGGCUUCUUGCAGCCUUUGACUCCCACUAAACCGAGGUCGGGGCAGCCACUCUCCACUUUGAAUCUCCUUCAUUAAAGUCAGCAUUUCUUCAGCUCCCUCACACAGCCAAACUUCCAUUGAAGCAGAACGUGCCCCUGUGCACUUGAACCCUGUGCACUUGAACCCAACAUAAAGGCCAAAGAGGAUAAAAGAUAACACAGCUUUUAAAAGAAGUGGGAACUUAACCUUGCUGUCCCCACUGGUGGUUUGUUGUGCUUAUGGAAGCACCGCACCAGACACCACUGCCUGACACUUCACAAACUUUCCAUUUCAGGGAGAGCCAUGAGCCUUUAGAAGCAAGCAUAUACACAAGUAAGGCAAGGGCUUAAGAGCUUUUGUACAGAUCUAGACCCCAGAUCUUGGGGUACCUGAUCUUGGGGUGCUUGCUGGGGAUAAAGUAUAACAGCAUGAUCAGAUUAAAUCUGUGUUUUCUACACGUCUGAAGCCAAGGACAAGAUGACCUGUUCCUCUAAGCAACAAGCAAAUGCUGAGGUGGAGGGCAAAGGAACUCGUCAGUUCCUAAGCUUGCUAUCAAGUUGAAGGUUUUCAUGGGAAGAAGAAAAAUAAUCAGGGAAUAUGAGAACACCCACAGCAGCAAUACACAGCCCAGAUAUUACGAUGCUCAGCUGUUUCUAAGUCAAAGUUCAGGUCACUGGUUUUAUUCCAACCCUUGAAUUCAUUUUCUUUUUUUCUUUUUUUUUUUUUUUUUAAUUUACAUGAAGAAAACUCUCAUUUGGACCAUUCCUUCUUCCACAGGUAGUUUCACAUGAAAAAGGUUGCAGAAACUGAGUUGUGCUCAGGGAAGAGAUUACUGAGUAAGAUCACUUCCAAGACAAACACUAGUUAAGUAACAUAUUAGAAAUGGUUGGAGAGGUAAGCUAAAGUCUGAAGAGCAACACUUCCAUCUUCUGGGACACAAAGAUGUUAUGCUCCUGCAUUUUUGAUGACCACUGAUGGACAGUAAUCACCUCCAUAACUAUGCAAAUGAUGACCUCAUUGUAUUUACUUACUGCCAGGAAAAGAGAAUGGGGCCUUGAGAAGAGAUACACAAGUAGGUAGACAAAAUUUAAUCAGUCUCUGUAUUGGGAACUGUUAGUAGUUGAGCUAGUGUAUUUCAAGUGUUUUUCAGUUUUUCUAUUGUGCUGCCCUUAAUGAUAUUAGAAUUAACUUGAUCCACAUCUGGUACAAGCACACAACUUUAUUUCUGUCAAAUUAUCCUAAGCGCAUGAGCACAAAGGUAAAAGGGCACAGAGAGAUUGUCUGCUUUAGCAGAAAGUGUGUCGGUACAGGGAAAGUGCCUCAAACCUUGCUAACUCUGCACCAGCAGAAUGAGCUUGAUCUAGGUCAGUGUGCCACAUCAGAUGCCACAGCUGGUUUCAGUCCUGUAGGGAGGAGCCCUUAAAGCCAAUUGAGGUGCAUCACUGUACUGUGGCUUUAUCUUCAAAUGAAGAAAUUCCCACUAGCAAAGGCAUCACCAUUCUACCCCAAGCAGGCUUGUGAUCCUGAAGAAAAUCCACUGCUAAGGGAGGAUUGUUUCCCUUUAGGCCUACACCCCCUUGAAAGAGACCACAGGUUGGUGCUGAAGGCUGCCAGAGCCUUCAGGGUUUGAGGAGAUGCAGAGACACCCUGUGGUGGCAGGAAGAAUAUGGUCAGAAUUCGAACCAAUCUUGACACAGAACUGAUCAGAAAAGCUGCAUCCUGGGGACUCAGAAAUCUUCCCCAAGUUGCUGUUGUUUCAUUUCCCCUCUCCUGACCUGCCUUCCUGUCUGGCACCUUUGCCCUGCAUGUUUGCCCGACAGUCCCUGCCACAAAGCUUUACCUAUAGCUCUGUUCUUUAUCUCAGGAUCUACCAUCUGGCUGCAGCCUGCUGUGUGUACUGUGAUUGGAGGGUAGCUGUGGAGAUGCUCCAUUUGUGGAAAAUGAUUUUCCUACAUCCUGCCAGACCUGGACAAGAGGGAUUAGCACUGAAAGAUCCUGCAGCAAAAGCCUUUGAAGCUCACUUCUUAGAGCAGGUGCUGCUGUUACAACAGAUAAAAUGAGCUGGCAGAAAGGAAAGAAGGAACUUACAGAAGAAAGCACAGGAGAUGGGAAACACAACCGAAAGAAGCGGGAGCGAGUGUUUAAGAAAAGAUUUUCUGGACUGAGUUUCUUCUCUGGGUCUCCUAGGAGUAAACUCCCUCAGGGAAGGAGUCAGAGUUUUGAAGACAAGAAGAGAUGCUUACACAGGAAAGGUUCCAAAAAGCUGAAACCAGCACGGGAAGAAAUAUGUUCUUUAAGGCAACCACAUUCUGGAAAAAUGUGUCCAAAAUGUGAAAUCCUUGUCUGUCGAAAAUGUGAGACCCUGCAUUCCGAAAGCAGUUUCAUUGCUCACAGCCUACUUGAUCACUACGACAGAGGAGGACGUGGCAGCUCUACUACACUGAUUACAAAAAGCCAGAAAGUAUGCAGAGGUGAUUAAAGAAUUGCUGUGGGUGCCCUGUUGAUACAUGACUACAUCAAGAAAGCUGAAGCUUGGAUCCAUUUAGGCUGAAGCCUCAGUUUGCACAAUCUGAAUGCAGCAUCAGCAACUGCAGCUGUGACGCUGUUCAUACUUACCAUAUGUAGCAGAUACACAUUCACUCAUUUAACCAGUAUAAAGUCUGUGAGCAGGAACUGUGAGUGUCUCAGCUAUUAAGAACAGGAAACGAUUUCAAAAGCUUCAAAGAGUUUUAUUUUUCCCCUCAAGGAAUCAAGAUUAUCACACUGAGCUGCGAAAGAGAAAGCAAGUAUUAAAUGCAGAACAUUACAGUUGUUUGUAAUGUGCAGGUAUGUUUCAGUGUUACUUGUGGU
Long non-coding RNA from Tympanuchus pallidicinctus (lesser prairie-chicken), 3062 nucleotides. RefSeq lists it as uncharacterized. Lineage: Eukaryota; Metazoa; Chordata; Aves; Galliformes; Phasianidae. The transcript has 4 exons. The record is from RefSeq and is a predicted model, not a curated record.